GCCUAUCUAGCCCACUUGGUGGAGCACAAGGCUUCUAACCUUGUGAUCAUGGGUUCAAACCCCACUAUUUGCA
This is a non-coding RNA of Zea mays, 73 nucleotides long. Lineage: Eukaryota; Viridiplantae; Streptophyta; Magnoliopsida; Poales; Poaceae. The record is from Rfam.